Lepisosteus oculatus (spotted gar) is the source of this 1168-nucleotide non-coding RNA. The record is from RefSeq and is a predicted model, not a curated record. NCBI's taxonomy places the organism in Eukaryota, Metazoa, Chordata, Actinopteri, Semionotiformes, Lepisosteidae.
GCAGAAGGCUGAAUCCAUCAGUGUGCACCACUCACCGGGAAAAGGACUGGCCAAGAACUGGAGUUCUACUCCCAAUGUGAGCAUCAGUCAAGGGAUGCAGGAGAGAAAUCAGCAGACGUUACCUCCCACUGAGACCAAGCAGGUAUUCAAGGCACAACGACACAGGAAACCUCAAGGUCACAACAGAUGAAGGAGUCCCCGGCCAGCCAUCAAUGCCAACAGAGCCAGUUGAUGUGAGGAAGAAUGAAAUGGAAAAACAAUUAGUCUAUAAAGAAAAAAGAGCCUGAAGAAAUAUGUUGCCUCUAAUUAAAAGGCAUAUCUCAUUGUACCGUGAAAUAGAAAGCAGUUUGAAGUUGAUAAAAAAGAAAAGAGGACGUAUUUAUAAAAUACAGUAUCUCCAAUCACAUAAUUCAUUGCACAAAAGAAAUGCUACCUUUUUCACAAAGUUAUGAUUUAAUAUGGCAUGAGUGUCUGUAGAAUUAUCCUGCCCUCUCCCUCAUCUUGCAUUCUAUGCCCCUGAAAACUUUUUUUUUCCAUAAAUGCUUUCCAAAGUCCAAAAGCAUAUAAAUCUUAUCGUUUUAAAAAUAUGAGGAAAUUUAUAAAAUAAAUACAAUAUGCAUAAUGUAGCUAAGGCACGUGGUCAGUAAGAAAUAUGGAUAAAUUAUCUGGAUGUGUACCUGUAGCAUUACACUUCCUUUAUAAGCAUUUCGUCUUCAUAUGACAACAAAAGAAACCAAAUAAAAAAUAGGAGUUCAGUUGGCCCAUUUACCCCAUUUGGUUGCUAGUAACUAAUUGAUCUAAAGAUCUAAUCCAAUCAAUUUUUGAAGGUAGACAAGUUGUUGGCUUCAACAGGAAGACUGGCUUAAUUUAUCUAGACUUCCACUGUCCUUUAUAAACCCCUUACACAACCCUCUAUACUGUAGUUUUCAAUGUACUUCCAAUAGUUUCCAUUUUUAUUUUCUGGUUCAUUUCACAUAUGAUUUCCAUAUGUUGACUUCAGUGAAGAAAUCAGGUUGGGUUCUAAUAUUUUGUGAUUCAACAGCAAUGUAACAGAUUAAGUUAAAAACGUAUAGGGAAAAAUCUUAGGUAUUGUGAAUCUGUAAAAUCUGUAAAACCUUUAUCAUGAAAAUGUUUUACAUGAAUACCAUUUGAAGAUAAGGAACAAAUG